UAUAUGAGUCCGGCUAUGGUGCUUGUAAAAGCACCAAGUACUUGGUGCUUGUAAGUUUUUUUACCAUUAGAUCUACUCCUCGGAUCAUUUUCAACCAUUAGAUUAUACUAUUCAACCAACCACCCGCUCAACCCUAGGGAGCCCACAUCAUCCUAACCGUAUAUCUCUUAAUCCAAUGGCUAAAAAUCUACAAGCAACAAUAACUUGGUACUUUUAAAAGCAUAGGAGCUCAAUUCUAUAUAUAUAUAUAUAGAGAGAGAGAGAGAGAGAGAGUCUGGCUGGUAUACUAUCGGUAGUACGGAGGCCUCCGUGCUACCAAGUUGUUUUCGAUGAUGCGGUUUCUAAAUCGACGAUCAGUUUCGUUAGACUUGAUCUACACUAUUAAACGUAUUUAGAAACUAAAUUUCAUAAAUUUUCGGUAUCAUUUACCUAUCAAACGAGUAGUUUAAAAAUGAACGGUUGAAAAUAAAAAUCUCAUAAAAAAUGAUGAUAGAAGACUUGAAUUUAAGAUCAGAUGUACUGAUCUUACUCUAAAUAGUAAAAAGAAUUUUUUAUAAAAAUUUCAUCUGAUUUGGAUUGUUUUACACCGUUAAAUUUACAAACGCAUCACAUCUACUAUUAAAAUUAUCAAUUUUGAGACAUUUUGAUCACUAGCCAAAUGAUGUCGAAAAAUUAUGAAAUUUAAUUUCCAAAUACUUUUAAUAGUGUAUAUCAA
This 715-nucleotide long non-coding RNA is filed under the name Ananas comosus (pineapple). RNAcentral describes it as "long non-coding RNA (ACOM_LNC001678)". Lineage: Eukaryota; Viridiplantae; Streptophyta; Magnoliopsida; Poales; Bromeliaceae. The record is from RNAcentral.